This 479-nucleotide long non-coding RNA is filed under the name Brassica napus (rape). Its description in RNAcentral is "long non-coding RNA (BNAP_LNC005793)". The record is from RNAcentral. Lineage: Eukaryota; Viridiplantae; Streptophyta; Magnoliopsida; Brassicales; Brassicaceae.
GAUUGGAGAUGUUUUUGAGAGGAGAGAGGUUGGGAGACUUUUUGGAUUGGUUAGGAUAUGACGGAAUAAAGAAAAAAACUGAAAAUUUUGAUUUUUAAAAUCUUAAACAAGAGAAGGGUUGUAAUUUUGGUCUGACAAAUCCUGUUACAAAUCCUAUCGUAUCUUUGGAAUAUAUUUUGCCUAUACACACCGAAUAUGAAGUAUAGGGGUAUCAGUGUCCUCCAUAAUUAUCAACAGUGUCUGAAAUGUGGGCUCUUGGCAGUGUGCUAAAUAGCAGAUAGAUGGUUGGUAGGCAUCCUAAUUUUUCUAAUAUUAAAAGUCUCACUAAAAAGCUCGUAUCUUGGAAAUAGUGAAGUCUCUAAACAUAUUUUAAGAUUUAACUAUUAAACGUAUUAUAUACAUAAAUUAUUUUAUGUAUUAGUAUGUGUUUUACAUAUUAUGAAAUAAUAAAUAUAUAUUGAAUAAUUAAAAGAACAGUA